This 2836-nucleotide long non-coding RNA is filed under the name Gossypium barbadense (sea-island cotton). RNAcentral describes it as "long non-coding RNA (GBAR_LNC018765)". Lineage: Eukaryota; Viridiplantae; Streptophyta; Magnoliopsida; Malvales; Malvaceae. The record is from RNAcentral.
GUCUCUCGAUUUUCUUAUUUUAUUAUUAUUUAUUUAUUUCCUUUUUCUUUUAAACACGGAAAUAAAAGGAAAAAUAGAAAGAGAAGGGUUACCUGAAAUCAGCCUGAAGUAUCGUCGUCGGUGGUUCCAUCACCGUCAUCGGAUGCUGGCUCAAAAAGGGUAAAAGAUCCUUUCUUCUUUGGUCUGCUGGGUCAAAAAAGGGGCUUUCGAACGGGAUUUAAAAGUGGGUUAAAAAACCAAGCUUCUUGACUCCCCGCCGUCGUGCACGGCGGUGCCGGUGCGGUGGCGCUCGACCGGGCCAUUGGCUGGACUCUAUGACCAGGGGAGAGAGCCUGAGAGAGAAUGAACAUUUUUUCUGGAAAAAGAAGACGAAAUGAGCAUUUUUGAAAAAAAAUUAGUUUUUAUACUAGUAAUGAAACGGCACCGUUUCGUCCAGGAAUAUUUAGUACCCGAACGGCGCCGUUUUGCACGACCCACGCGCUACCCGACCCGCUCCCAGGGAUCCGAGUGUUUCCUUUUAAAGUGGGAUAAUUUCCAUCUUGGUCCUCCCACAUUUUACACCUGUUUCAAUUCGAUCCUUCUGAUUACUUUUUUUAAUUUCUUUUAAUUAAGCCUAAUAAUUUUAUUUUCAUCACAUUCUAGUCCCUAAUGAAACGAUGCGUUUUGGAGGAGAAGGAAAAAUUUCCCUUUUAGUCCCUCCAUGUUAUACGCGUGUUCAGAAUAGUCUUCCCUUUUAUUUUAUUUACAGAUUUACCCCCAAAGCUCUGUUUUCAGUUCAAAUUAAUCUUUUUAUAUUUUUUAAUUAAUUUUGAUGAUGCUGUCAUUAUUUUUACCAUUAUUAUUUUUAAUAUUGUUAUUAUCAUGUUUGUUAUUAGUUACUCAUUCAGACCUUUUCAAUUUUAGAUUCAAUUAUAUAUAUAUACAUGCAUAUCUUGGAUUUAUAUAUACAUGCUUCUAUACUUUUUACGUUUUAUAAUUUAUAUAUUAUACAUGCGUUUUUAUAACAUAUAUAUGCACAUACACGUACAUAUUUUUAUAACUUAUUUAUAUAUAUACAUAUAUGUUUUUAUAUACAUUAUAAUUUAUAUACAUAACGAUAUAUAUCUACAUACACAUUUUUCUUCCAUAAAUAUAUAUAUGCAUAUUUAUAUAUCCUUUAUAUUUUAAAAUAUACCCUUUUUACAUAUAUAUUUUCUUAUUUUUAUAAUUCAUAUACAUAUAUAUUUUUAUAUAUAUUUUACAAUUUAUAUAUAUACAUAUAUAUUUUUAUAUACUUUAUAAUUUCCAUAUGCAUACAUAUAUACAUAUUUAUACUCUUGUAUUUUUAUAAUUUUGUUCACGUUCCUUUUAAUUAUUUAUUCAUGUUUUCAUCAUUAUUUUAAAAGAAUGUUUUAACUUUACUUGCUUAUUAUACUUGUUAUUUUGCAUGUUAUUAAUUUGACCUUUUUAUUUGUUCAUUUUUGUUAUUGCUCGUAUUAUUUUUACUUACAUUAUCAUAAUUGUUAUUCCGUUAUAUAUAAUUUUUACCCAAAUUCGUAAAAAAUAGAAAAUUUUGAAAAUAAAGGCAAUACUCGGUAUUUGGGAUCUUCGAGAGGAUUGAGCCCUAACGUAUUGGGUUCCAAUUUUCUUCGUUGAAUCUAAAUAAUCGAGAAUGCUCUUUAAUCAAAAAACAUAAAUAAAAAGCUCAUUAUCGGGAAUUCAAUACGUUGUGACCUAACGCAUUGGAUAUGACACGUUGUUUUCUCGAGAUGAGGAUUUUUCUAAAAAUAAUAAAGGCAAUAUUCAAUGUUUAGAAUUUUGAGAAGUUGUGCCCUAACGUAUUGGGCUGCGAUUUUUUCAUCUGACUUAAACAAUUGAAUAUCCUUUUAAAUUUUAUUGCACGAGUUUUUGGAUAAGCUCAUUUUUUGAGGAGGUGAAAUACUAUGCCCUAACUCAUUGGGUAUGACAUUUUCUCUCUCCGAAAUGAGAGGGUCUUAACACCUACUUUGAUUUAUACAAGUUUUUUUAAUACAAGAACCGUAUUUUAAAAUCUUUACACAUUUUUUAUAUUAAGGCACUAAUUAAUCAACAAUGUACCAAUUUUGGGCGUGUCGAGGGUGCUAACCCUUUCUCGUGCGUAACCGACUCCCGAACCCGUCUUCUGGAUUUUAUAAGACCAAAAUUAUCAUUUUAAUAAAUUUAAAUUUUUAUUAAAAUGAUUUAAUUAUAAGGUGAUCCGAUCACACCUAAGUAAAAAAGAUUGGUUGCGACUCCCAUUUUUUUUAUUUUUAAAAUUCAAGUCGACCUCGUUUUAUCAAAAAAAAAAUGGUGUCAACACUUUGAAUUUGAAAUUGUAGGAUGCCAUGGCAUGAGAAAGGACAAGUUGAAGUUCUUUUUGGAGAAAGGUGAAGGAGGAGACGGAAGGGACGAUGGUAGUGGAGGUGGGGGAACCAGAAGAGGAACAUAAAUUUGCGGAUCAAAUUGAAAUCAUUUAUAAAAUUUAAAGAUUAAUUUUUUAAAAUUAUAAUUAAAUAAAUAUAUAUAAAAAUUAAGAAUUAAAUUUAUUAUUAUAUUAAUUUUUUAAUUAUCAUAUCACCCUCCCAUCAAAAUUUAAUGGGAAACGGACCCAAAAAAAAACUCCAUUUAAAGAUGGGAUCUCCCACCCUUCAUUGAAUGAUGGCUGCCUCAACUUUCAAAGCGAAGCAGCCGAAGGACAACAAUUAAGUGCCCAUGGAAAAUGGCUACAAUACGUGCCAACAAAUAACAAAUGAACACGACAAAAAAGAAAACAGAGAAAAGGUACAAAAAUUAAAGGCUUAAUUCUUAGUAUUUAAACUAUACUAAUUUCUCAUCUUGG